RNAcentral lists this ribosomal RNA (381 nucleotides) under uncultured bacterium. RNAcentral describes it as "bacterial SSU rRNA". It matches the Rfam family "Bacterial small subunit ribosomal RNA", at positions 28 to 419 of the family's 1533-position model. The record is from RNAcentral.
GAUUAACGCUGGCGGCGUGCCUAACACAUGCAAGUCGAACGAGGUAGCAAUACCUAGUGGCAGACGGGUGAGUAACGCGUGGUCAACCUACCGUUGAGUGGGGGAUAACUAGCCGAAAGGUUAGCUAAUACCGCAUACGUCUCCGAGGGGCAUCCCCUGGCGAUAAAAGGAGCAAUCCGCUCGAUGACGGGACCGCGUCCCAUUAGCUAGAUGGUGGGGUAACGGCCUACCAUGGCACCGAUGGGUAGCUGGUUUGAGAGAGCGACCAGCCACACUGAGACUGAGAAACGGCCCAGACUCCUACGGGAGGCAGCAGUGAGGAAUUUUCCGCAAUGGGCGCAAGCCUGACGGAGCGACGCCGCGUGUGGGAAGAAGGCCUUC